CAAGGCGCAGAGGGAGUGUCAAACUAUCACUGGGCUCACAAAACUGUCCAAUGAAAAGCCCAGGAACUUCUUACAAAUCUCUAGCUUCUAUUAUGUCCAUUUCCCAAGGGCACAGAGAAGAGUUACCGGGAUAUCAUGGGUGUUUUUCCCGUUCCCAAGGCGCAGAGGGAGUGUCAAACUAUCACUGGGGUCACAAAACAGUCCAUGGAAAGCCCAGGAACUU
Long non-coding RNA from Eriocheir sinensis (Chinese mitten crab), 223 nucleotides. RefSeq lists it as uncharacterized. The record is from RefSeq and is a predicted model, not a curated record. NCBI's taxonomy places the organism in Eukaryota, Metazoa, Arthropoda, Malacostraca, Decapoda, Varunidae. The transcript is spliced from 2 exons.